GGGGGCACCCUGAUCAGCCAUGCCGCGUGAGUGAAGAAGGCCUUCGGGUUGUAAAGCUCUUUCGGCCGGGAAGAAAACGCACUCUCUAACAUAGGGUGUGGAUGACGGUACCGGAAGAAGAAGCACCGGCUAACUACGUGCCAGCAGCCGCGGUAAUACGUAGGGUGCGAGCGUUAAUCGGAAUUACUGGGCGUAAAGGGUGCGCAGGCGGUUUUGUAAGACAGAUGUGAAAUCCCCGGGCUUAACCUGGGAACUGCGUUUGUGACUGCAAGGCUAGAGUACGGCAGAGGGGGGUGGAAUUCCGCGUGUAGCAGUGAAAUGCGUAGAUAUGCGGAGGAACACCGAUGGCGAAGGCAACCCCCUGGGCCUGUACUGACGCUCAUGCACGAAAGCGUGGGGAGCAAACAGGAUUAGAUACCCUGGUAGUCCACGCCCUAAACGAUGUCAACUAGUCGUUCGGAGCAGCAAUGCACUGAGUGACGCAGCUAACGCGUGAAGUUGACCGCCUGGGGAGUACGGCCGCAAGGUUA
Molecule: ribosomal RNA, 530 nt
Filed under: uncultured bacterium
Lineage: Bacteria
Description: bacterial SSU rRNA
Rfam family: Bacterial small subunit ribosomal RNA
Source: RNAcentral